RNAcentral lists this ribosomal RNA (459 nucleotides) under uncultured bacterium. RNAcentral describes it as "partial 16S ribosomal RNA". It matches the Rfam family "Bacterial small subunit ribosomal RNA", at positions 338 to 795 of the family's 1533-position model. The record is from RNAcentral.
CCUACGGGUGUCAGCAGUGAGGAAUAUUGGUCAAUGGGCGAGAGCCUGAACCAGCCAAGUCGCGUGAGGGAUGACGGUCCUAUGGCUUGUAAACCUCUUUUGUAGGGGAACAAAGACGUCCACGUGUGGACUGGUGAAUGUACCCGACGAAAAAGCAUCGGCUAACUCCGUGCCCGCAGCCGCGGUCAUACGGAGGAUGCGGGCGUUAUCCGGAUUUAUUGGGUUUAAAGGGUGGGUAGGCGGACAGUAAAGUCAGCGGUAAAAAUUCGGUGCGCAACGCCGUACAGCCGUUGAAAUUGGCAGUCGUGAGGGGGCGAGAAGUAUGCGGAAUGCGUGGUGUAGAGGUGAAAUGCAUAGAUAUCACGCAGAACUCCGAUUGCGAAGGCAUCAUACCGGCGCCCUACUGACGCUGAGGCACGAAAGCGUGGGUAGCGAACAGGAUUAGAUACCCGAGUAGUC